This 105-nucleotide ribosomal RNA is filed under the name Microcebus murinus (gray mouse lemur). The record is from RNAcentral. Lineage: Eukaryota; Metazoa; Chordata; Mammalia; Primates; Cheirogaleidae.
GUCUAUAGCCAUACCACCCUGAAUGUGCCCAAUCUCAUCUGAUCUCAGGAGCUAAGCAGGGUUGGGCCUGGUUAGGACUUGGAUUAGAGAAAUGGGACAAAGACU